Molecule: transfer RNA, 92 nt
Filed under: Acidobacteriaceae bacterium
Lineage: Bacteria; Pseudomonadati; Acidobacteriota; Terriglobia; Terriglobales; Acidobacteriaceae
Description: tRNA-Ser
Source: RNAcentral
GCGCUGCGCGACGAAUAAAGAAACGUACGGGAUACGGCUCAAUCUGGCUACGAACCAGAAGGUCGAGUGUUCGAAUCACUCGGGGCGCACCA